This 434-nucleotide ribosomal RNA is filed under the name uncultured bacterium. RNAcentral's name for it is "bacterial SSU rRNA". It matches the Rfam family "Bacterial small subunit ribosomal RNA", at positions 958 to 1392 of the family's 1533-position model. The record is from RNAcentral.
AACGCGAAGAACCUUACCUGGACUUGACAUCCCCCUGAAUGCAGCGUAAUGGCUGCAGGCCUUCGGGACAGGGGAGACAGGUGGUGCAUGGUUGUCGUCAGCUCGUGUCGUGAGAUGUUGGGUUAAGUCCCGCAACGAGCGCAACCCUUAUCCUUAGUAGCCAGCGGUUCGGCCGGGCACUCUAGAGAGACUGCCGGGGAUAACCCGGAGGAAGGCGGGGAUGACGUCAAAUCAUCAUGCCCCUUAUGGCCAGGGCAACACACGUGCUACAAUGGCGUAAACAAAGGGAAGCGAAGUGGCGACACGGAGCAAAUCCCAAAAAUAACGUCUCAGUUCGGAUUGUAGUCUGCAACCCGACUACAUGAAGCCGGAAUCGCUAGUAAUCGCGGAUCAGAAUGCCGCGGUGAAUACGUUCCCGGGUCUUGUACACACCG